AUGAAGAACUUGAGAGAUCCAAAAACCAAGAUCUAUCCCUCAACUACGAGGGGAGGUAAGGAACUGCCAUCUAGCUCUGCACUUGAUUCACCUUCUGUUAUGAGUAAGUUUGCGACACCUACACCUGCUUCUGCUAUUCGUUCUGAUAUGUCGCAUGUUAUUGAUGAUGCCACUUCUGCUAUGCAUGAUACUUAUGAUGAAACUGCUUCUAUGCCUGAUACUACUAUGCCCCUUGGUGAAUUUCUUGAUGAACAAAUUGCUAGGGCUAGAGAAAAAGAAAUUAUUGAAUCUGAAUACGACGAUGAUAGUGAUGGUGAAAAUAUGCCUGUUAUUCCUGAG
RNAcentral lists this ribosomal RNA (339 nucleotides) under Triticum aestivum (bread wheat). RNAcentral's name for it is "partial small subunit ribosomal RNA". Lineage: Eukaryota; Viridiplantae; Streptophyta; Magnoliopsida; Poales; Poaceae. The record is from RNAcentral.